GGGGUCACUUGAGCCGAGAGUGGAAUGAAAUAAAGGAUAGCAAGCCACACAGAGAAUGCAGCAGGCAUGGCGGCGGGAGCAACGCUGGUGUCCCCGAGCAGCAGUAGGGAAGCCGGAGUGACUAGACUUGUGUGGGUAUGGGGAAGAGGGGAGAGAGAUCACCCAUCUGUGUGAGGCCCAGGACUUUGUUUUAUCCCCUGCUGUACCCCCAGCGCUUAGAGUGGGAGCUAGCACAGAGAAGUCGCUUGAUUGAUGUUUGCUGAGCAGACGAAUGCCUGGAGUAGACCUCAGAGCAGGGUUUGGUGGCAGGGUGGGUCAGGGAGAGAGUUCACUCCACACCCUGGUGAUAGGGGAGAACAAGUGGCCGGAGGGUGUCCAUCUGUGAUGGGGUCCAGGGGUCCCUGCUGGACAGAAGUGUGGGAGACACGGAUCCUGGCCACACCUCAGCCUUCCCUCCAGCCUGAUUACCUGCCUCCCUCCCUUGCAGAGGUUUUGGUUCUAUGGUGAUCUGGACUGUCCCAAGUGGGUCCUGGCAGAGAUAGGCACGCUGGCCAAGAUGGUUGAGUGCACAGGGUCUAGUCUGGGUGGAGGAGGGGUGCUGGGGCUGGGGAUUGUGGGUGUAGAUGAUGGUGAGGUUUUUCUGGGGUUGGGACCUCAGUGGUCUCAGCCUGUGCUACCAUGCUUUGUGACCUUGAUCAGCGGCUGGCCUGCUCUGAGCCAGUCCCCAGGAAGGAGGGGUGAGGUUUGCCAGCCUGGCUGAUAUAAGGACUUCCCUUCCAGUCCUCUGUGAAGUUGCAGCUGCUCUGCAGCCAGGUACUAAAGAGCUGCUGGGACAGGGGAAUGAUGAUCCAGGCUAAGGGUGAGGGGCUGGUGAAUAGGGUACUGGCACCCCCGAAGAUCUCCUUUCCCCAUAAUAUGAGAAGAUCCUGAAGCUCACGGCUGAUGCCAAGUUUGAGUCAAGCGAUAUGAAGGCCACAGUAGAAGUGCUGAGUUUCAUCCUCUCCAGUGCGGCCAAGCACAGUGUCGAGGGCGAAUCCUUGGCCAGUGAACUGCAGCAGCUGGGGCUGCCCUAAGGUUAUGAGGAGAAGCAAAGCCCCUUGCAGAAGCACUUGUGGGUCUGCAGCCUAUGCAGCAAGUAUGAGGCCAGCCAGGGUCCAGGCUCCUUCUAGAAGGUGCACACAGCAUGCGAAGUGCAUGGAGAGUCCAGGGAGACAACUUAACCAUGGUCACAUACCAAGCAGCUGCAGAGCUGGGACCUGGCCCUGGCUCUCCUGACUCUGCGGACUGUGUGAUGUGUACCUACAGGAUCAGACCUUGCCCUUUCCUCCUGGCUGACCCUUCCCUAGUCCUCUGUGCCCCGUGUGUGAGCACCCAGCUCUCUCUUAUUCCUCCCUCUCUGAAGCGUGGUCCCUGGGAGCACCAGUGGCAGAAGGGGCAGCAGAGACUGUGGACCCCUCAGCUGCACCUAAGACCUCUGUGUGGUCUAGCUAUGUGUGCUGGGGGAGGCUUUUGGCCACCAUUUCCCCCUCUGUAAAUGAGACCGAUACCUGUGGCAUGGAGGGCGGGAGGCCGGUGUGAGUGCCAAGCACUUGGAGCAGGGCCCUGAGUGAGCAUGGACCUGGAAACGGGUGUUCCUUGACCUUAUGCACCUUGGGAAUGGGAGUGGGGCUCCCUGCGUGGGUUGACAAUUCAUUGCUUUCCCCCACUCCGCCUCUUUCCCAGCCCUGCAAGUCCAGUCAUUGGCGGUCCAGGAGGGAAGAAGCCCCUGGCUGUGUGACUUCGGGCUGGUGCCUGGCUCUCUCUGGCUCUGAGUUCCUGGGAAUGUCAGCACCCAAGGCAUGCCCUCAAGUUUAGCACCUUGACAAGAAAGGCGGGGACACUGGGAUCAGGCCCACCCCCCUGGCCUUAAACCCCGUGGCCCCAGCUGGAGGAUGAGGACAUGCUGGGCUUGGAUGGGGGAGUCAGGGGUGGAAAGGGACCUGCUCGCCCCUCAGCUUGGCUCAAAGGCUCAAGGCAUCCAUGGUUGAGUCUGCCCCUCAAGAAGCAGCCCAGGCCCAGCCAGACACUCACCAGGACAAGGGCAACUCUGACGAGCAGGAGGCCCAGGAUGAGGAGAGCCACGGCAUAGCUGGAGAUGAAGAUGUCCAGCGGGCUGGAGGCUUUGGGGCCAGGAGUGCCUAGAGCAGAGCAAGAAGGCUAUGACCAGGCGGGGCUCUGCCUCCCAGACUUCUGAAAAGGCAGAAUCUGGGCCCAGAAGGUGCUGUGGGACCAGAGAUCUAGGGCUAGGAGCAUCUUGGAGGGCUCCAUGAGGAGGGGAGGCAGGCUUCAGAUCAGGGCAUGUGGAGUAGGCAGAUGGACAGAGGGAGAGGGCCUGCAGAGGGAAGGAGGUACUGACCGAGGUCUGGGAUGAUGGGUGUGCAGACCCUGGUGCAAACAGUCCCAGGAAGCUUUUACUCCUGGGGGGAGGCGGAGAGGGAGCAGGCCUGUCACAUGGUGAGAGAGGAAGAAAGAGAGAGGAGGCAUCAGGCUCUUUUUAACAACCAGCUCU
This is a long non-coding RNA of Cercocebus atys (sooty mangabey), 2548 nucleotides long. RefSeq lists it as uncharacterized. The transcript has 4 exons. The record is from RefSeq and is a predicted model, not a curated record. NCBI's taxonomy places the organism in Eukaryota, Metazoa, Chordata, Mammalia, Primates, Cercopithecidae.